RNAcentral lists this ribosomal RNA (465 nucleotides) under Vreelandella stevensii. RNAcentral's name for it is "partial 16S ribosomal RNA". It matches the Rfam family "Bacterial small subunit ribosomal RNA", at positions 338 to 795 of the family's 1533-position model. Lineage: Bacteria; Pseudomonadati; Pseudomonadota; Gammaproteobacteria; Oceanospirillales; Halomonadaceae. The record is from RNAcentral.
CCUACGGGAGGCAGCAGUGGGGAAUAUUGGACAAUGGGGGCAACCCUGAUCCAGCCAUGCCGCGUGUGUGAAGAAGGCCCUCGGGUUGUAAAGCACUUUCAGUGAGGAAGAACGCCUGGUGGUUAAUACCCAUCAGGAAAGACAUCACUCACAGAAGAAGCACCGGCUAACUCCGUGCCAGCAGCCGCGGUAAUACGGAGGGUGCGAGCGUUAAUCGGAAUUACUGGGCGUAAAGCGCGCGUAGGUGGCUUGAUAAGCCGGUUGUGAAAGCCCCGGGCUCAACCUGGGAACGGCAUCCGGAACUGUCAAGCUAGAGUGCAGGAGAGGAAGGUAGAAUUCCCGGUGUAGCGGUUAAAUGCGUAGAGAUCGGGAGGAAUACCAGUGGCGAAGGCGGCCUUCUGGACUGACACUGACACUGAGGUGCGAAAGCGUGGGUAGCAAACAGGAUUAGAUACCCGUGUAGUC